UGGGAGAAGAGCUGUUGUGUCACUUCCUCAGGCAGACAUAUUUACUAGAGCGUGCAAUCCAAAACCUUCCGGUAAGAGAGGCAGCAGAAGGGAGGGUCUCACCUGACUUUGGGAACUGUGUG
Molecule: microRNA precursor, 122 nt
Filed under: Mus caroli (Ryukyu mouse)
Lineage: Eukaryota; Metazoa; Chordata; Mammalia; Rodentia; Muridae
Description: miRNA (MGP_CAROLIEiJ_G0008284.1)
Source: RNAcentral